GGGAAGGUUAUUUGGGGAAAAUAUACAAAAAUGGAAAUAUAGAAAUUAAUCUGUAUGUUUUUAUUGGGGGUGGGUAUACCUGGGAACACAGACAACGGCUUGUCAAACAACUAGCCUAAGGCAUGCAUCAGUCAACAAUUUGGUGAGGACUGACAACACUCUUCAGCAGGUGCCAAACCACAAAACGAACAUGGCUGUAGCAAAUGGUGACAUUCUGUAGCAAAUGGUGUCAUUCUGUCAAUGUGCAGGUACAUGGCACAUAAAUUGUUGUAUACUCUGGUUGUGAACUCAGGUGCAUCUAAAGUGAGGAUAUAUACAGCUGGACAAAGUUCAAGCAGGGUGUUGAAUGUGUGCGCUUUGGAACUUUCUAAGAUUCAUAAAGUUAUUACGGUUUGUGUAAUGCUGCAUAACUGUGCUAGAAAGCUCCAUCUGAUUCAGAGAAAUUCAAUGACAGUGAUCCAGGUUUUGUUUUGUUACAAGAUGAUAACUUUGAUAUGAAAGAGAUUUCAACCCAGUGGUUCAUGAUGUUGAUAGCAGAGCUGUUAUUUACUAGUAAUACAUUUAUUUACAUGCUCUGUUAACACAAAACGAUAUUCAUAUUUUACAUUUUUCAUACAUCUUCAUUUUGAAUUUAAAUCAAUAUGCAACAGGAAAAUAAUGUUACAGUUAGAUGAUUAUAAUUGAGAACUUCAAUGCAAAACAAUUCAUAAAAUAAAGACAAAUUAACAAAAUAAUUAUGAAAAAUACA
Long non-coding RNA from Gigantopelta aegis, 748 nucleotides. RefSeq lists it as uncharacterized. The record is from RefSeq and is a predicted model, not a curated record. Lineage: Eukaryota; Metazoa; Mollusca; Gastropoda; Neomphalida; Peltospiridae. The transcript is spliced from 3 exons.